AUUGAACGCUGGCGGCAUGCCUUACACAUGCAAGUCGAACGGCAGCAUGGGUGCUUGCACCUGGUGGCGAGUGUCGAACGGGUGAGUAAUACAUCGGAACGUACCUUAUCGUGGGGGAUAGCGCAGCGAAAGCUGUGCUAAUACCGCAUACGCCCUGAGGGGGAAAGCGGGGGAUCGCAAGACCUCGCGCGAUUAGAGCGGCCGAUGCCUGAUUAGCUUGGUGGUGGGGUAAAAGCCCACCAAGGCGACGAUCAGUAGCUGGUCUGAGAGGACGAUCAGCCACACUGGGACUGAGACACGGCCCAGACUCCUACGGGAGGCAGCAGUGGGGAAUUUUGGACAAUGGGGGCAACCCUGAUCCAGCAAUGCCGCGUGAGUGAAGAAGGCCUUCGGGUUGUAAAGCUCUUUUGUCAGGGAAGAAACACCGGCUCUAACACAGUCUGGGAAUGACGGUACCUGAAGAAUAAGCACCGGCUAACUACGUGCCAGCCGCCGCGGUAA
This 501-nucleotide ribosomal RNA is filed under the name uncultured bacterium. RNAcentral's name for it is "partial 16S ribosomal RNA". It matches the Rfam family "Bacterial small subunit ribosomal RNA", at positions 30 to 523 of the family's 1533-position model. The record is from RNAcentral.